Molecule: ribosomal RNA, 862 nt
Filed under: Skvortzovia pinicola
Lineage: Eukaryota; Fungi; Basidiomycota; Agaricomycetes; Hymenochaetales
Description: partial large subunit ribosomal RNA
Rfam family: Eukaryotic large subunit ribosomal RNA
Source: RNAcentral
UAACAAGGAUUCCCCUAGUAACUGCGAGUGAAGCGGGAAAAGCUCAAAUUUAAAAUCUGGCGGCUUUGCCGUCCGAGUUGUAAUCUGGAGAAGUGCUUUCUGUGCCGGACCGUGUACAAGUCUCUUGGAACAGAGCGUCAUAGAGGGUGAGAAUCCCGUCUUUGACACGGACUGCCGGUGCUAUGUGAUGCGCUCUCGAAGAGUCGAGUUGUUUGGGAAUGCAGCUCAAAAUGGGUGGUGAAUUCCAUCUAAAGCUAAAUAUUGGCGAGAGACCGAUAGCGAACAAGUACCGUGAGGGAAAGAUGAAAAGCACUUUGGAAAGAGAGUUAAACAGUACGUGAAAUUGUUGAAAGGGAAACGCUUGAAGUCAGUCGCGUCGUCCGGAACUCAGCCUUGCUUUUGCUUGGUGUAUUUUCCGGUUGACGGGCCAACAUCGAUUUUGGCUGGCGGAUAAAGGCAGUUGGAAUGUGGCACCCUCGGGUGUGUUAUAGCCUCCUGUUGAACACGCUGGCCGGGAUCGAGGACCGCAGCGCGCCUUUUGGCCGGGGCUUUGCCCACGUAACGCGCUUAGGAUGUUGGCGUAAUGGCUUUAAACGACCCGUCUUGAAACACGGACCAAGGAGUCUAACAUGCCCGCGAGUGUUAGGGUGGAAAACCCUUCCGCGUAAUGAAAGUGAAAGUUGGGACCUCUGUCAUGGAGGGCACCGACGCCCGGCCUUGAACUUCUGUGACGGUGCUGCGGUGGAGCGUGCAUGUUGGGACCCGAAAGAUGGUGAACUAUGCCUGAAUAGGGUGAAGCCAGAGGAAACUCUGGUGGAGGCUCGUAGCGAUUCUGACGUGCAAAUCGAUCGUCAAAUUUGGG